UGUAAUAUUUAUAUUUAUAUUUGGAUUGUAUAAUGGGGUUUGUCUCAUUUUAGGUUGCAUAUGAUCUUGGGGCAUGUGAAUACAAAGGUGUAUGUCUGAAAGCAAUAAUUUACAUCUGAAUCUGAACAAAACCACUAUAACUUUAUCCUUGGAGCAAAUAAUUAAAUUAGUUUAAAAAAAUUAUUAGUAAAAUAAUCUUUACUACAAAUACAAAGUCUUCAACCUGUCUGUUUUUAUUUUAUUUAUUUUUUUUAGCAUGGACACAUUAAGAGAUGAUAUGCGAGAGUAACAAUCAGAACUUAUUAUCCUGUAUGCAACAGCAAUCAUCAGACAUAUGUCUCCCUUCAUGGUCUUGUUGUUACCUACGCUCUCUCUGAGCAGAAGUAUUAGCCAGGAUGUCUUACUUAUUGCGCAGAGGACUUCAAUCUGAGAAACUGAACAGUAGGGUAUGUCUAGACCUGUGGGGCUGACAUUUACUAAAGAAAAUGUCAGAAAUCUGCACAGAUAACUGAUUUUCCGAGUGACGGGGUGAGAUAACCAUAGUGGUUAACAGGUCAGGCUCUCACCAGUGGAUUGCAGGCUUCAUUCCAUGCUAAGGCAUCGUGACCCAUUAACUUCUGUGAACAGUGAAAGGUGAAAAUUACUUCAGAAUGAAUAAAAUUGCACAUUUAUAGACAUCUAACGAAUAUUUUUUCUGCCUUGUUUUACAUUACUGCACAAAUACAAACCAAGUUUACUCAUCAGCUGAAGAAGUAAAUGAGCAGAGAUAUGUACUUACGAAGGAAAAAUAGCAUGUUUUAUUUGUAUAACAAAUUAUUAUAAAGCGUUUACUUUGUUAUUAAAUGAACAUGAGCCAAAACAGCUGCUGUACAGAGUCUGCAUGGCUUUGUCUGUGAAUAUGGCCAGUAAAAAUGAUUCUUUAUUUAUUAAUUUUUAAUAAAUAAAUAAAUAAAAACAAUUGAGAUAACUAUUAUUGCAUUGUGACAUUUCGCUGAAUUUACAUCAAAUGUGUUGUCUCUCUGGUGCAUGUAUUGUGUGCCAUCAUAUCAACAUAUCACAUAUGCCAUCAUUUAAGUAUUGGCUAUACUGUUUUGUUUAAAACUGUUAUCGGCCGAUUUUGAUACGGCCUCAACAUUACCAUCGAUACUUUUUCAUUUUGUUUUUCAUUAUGGAAGCCAGUGUAGGUGAAAUGUUAGAGCCGAUUGGUUUUGUUCACUUUGAUAUCGUCGAUAAUGUGCUUUCAAAGCCGUGGCACGUUGUAGCCAAUGCGAUUGAAGGUUUUUUCAUUUGUGAUCGCAGGUGCCGGAGCCGCUGAUUUGUGUGCCCUUGGCGGUGUGGUCAUGUGCUUCUCAUAAGGUCCCUUCCAACAGGCGUGGGGAGACAAAAGACUGAGUCAGCCAUCCCCAGAGGGCCUAGUGGGCGUUAUCUUCUCAGGCUUUGAGAGCAGCCUCUACAGCGGCAGGGAAACAGGGCCAGCCCCCAGGGUUCACCCACAUGGAGGGAAGGCAUACUGUAUGGUGGAGGAAACCGCUCGGAAGAAAGGGGAGUCAGAAGACUGCUGUUCUAUGGCAAUAAAUCAAAAAAGGCCCUCCAACCACUCAAUGGCAUUUUUACAACAUUUUUACAGUAUGCUGCUCCUGCUUGUCUGGAUUACCCGCUCCUAAUGGCAUAACUACAUUAAUCACUGAGAUAUUGAGGACUGUCAUGAGUCACCCCCCCCCCCCCCCCCCAAUUAGGAACAUAAGGAUUUCCAAACAUCAUCCAUGAUGUUGAACCUUCAGUUGAGUAUUGAACCUUGUGUGACCCAUUUUUAGUCCAUGGGUACUGAUUUUUUUAAUGUCCUGUGUCAAGUAAAGAUAUACAUAAAAACAAA
Anguilla anguilla (European eel) is the source of this 1873-nucleotide long non-coding RNA. RefSeq lists it as uncharacterized. The record is from RefSeq and is a predicted model, not a curated record. The transcript is spliced from 2 exons. NCBI's taxonomy places the organism in Eukaryota, Metazoa, Chordata, Actinopteri, Anguilliformes, Anguillidae.